UGGGGAAUAUUGGACAAUGGGCGAAAGCCUGAUCCAGCCAUGCCGCGUGUGUGAAGAAGGUCUUCGGAUUGUAAAGCACUUUAAGUUGGGAGGAAGGGCAGUAAGCGAAUACCUUGCUGUUUUGACGUUACCGACAGAAUAAGCACCGGCUAACUCUGUGCCAGCAGCCGCGGUAAUACAGAGGGUGCAAGCGUUAAUCGGAAUUACUGGGCGUCAAGCGCGCGUAGGUGGUUCGUUAAGUUGAAUGUGAAAGCCCCGGGCUCAACCUGGGAACUGCAUCCAAAACUGGCGAGCGAGAGUAGUGCAGAGGGUGGUGGAAUUUCCUGUGUAGCGGUGAAAUGCGUAGAUAUAGGAAGGAACACCAGUGGCGAAGGCGACCACCUGGGCUCAUACUGACACUGAGGUGCGAAAGCGUGGGGAGCAAACAGG
RNAcentral lists this ribosomal RNA (429 nucleotides) under Pseudomonadota bacterium. Its description in RNAcentral is "Proteobacteria bacterium partial 16S ribosomal RNA". It matches the Rfam family "Bacterial small subunit ribosomal RNA", at positions 355 to 776 of the family's 1533-position model. Lineage: Bacteria; Pseudomonadati; Pseudomonadota. The record is from RNAcentral.